UACGGAGGAUGCGAGCGUUAUCCGGAUUUAUUGGGUUUAAAGGGUGCGUAGGCGGAUUUUUAAGUCAGCGGUAAAAUGUCCGGGCUCAACCCGGGCCGGCCGUUGAAACUGGGGAUCUUGAGUGGGCGAGAAGUAUGCGGAAUGCGUGGUGUAGCGGUGAAAUGCUUAGAUAUCAUGAAGAACUCCGAUCGCGAAGGCAAGUGUCCGGGGUGCAACUGACGCUGAGGCUCGAAAGUGCGGGUAUCAAACAGG
RNAcentral lists this ribosomal RNA (252 nucleotides) under uncultured Bacteroidales bacterium. RNAcentral describes it as "partial 16S ribosomal RNA". It matches the Rfam family "Bacterial small subunit ribosomal RNA", at positions 524 to 776 of the family's 1533-position model. Lineage: Bacteria; Pseudomonadati; Bacteroidota; Bacteroidia; Bacteroidales. The record is from RNAcentral.